Molecule: ribosomal RNA, 200 nt
Filed under: uncultured eukaryote
Lineage: Eukaryota
Description: partial 18S ribosomal RNA
Rfam family: Bacterial small subunit ribosomal RNA
Source: RNAcentral
AGGGGGUUAGCGUUGUUCGGAAUUACUGGGCGUAAAGCGCGCGUAGGCGGAUUAGUCAGUCAGAGGUGAAAUCCAGGGCUCAACCUGGAACUGCCUUUGAUACUGCUAGUCUUGAGUUCGAGAGAGGUGAGUGGAAUUCCGAGUGUAGAGGUGAAAUUCGUAGAUAUUCGGAGGAACACCAGUGGCGAAGGCGGCUCACU